This 375-nucleotide ribosomal RNA is filed under the name uncultured organism. RNAcentral's name for it is "partial 16S ribosomal RNA". It matches the Rfam family "Bacterial small subunit ribosomal RNA", at positions 526 to 896 of the family's 1533-position model. The record is from RNAcentral.
UGGGGGAGGCAAGCGUUGUUCGGAAUUAUUGGGCGUAAAGAGCGCGUAGGUGGCUUUUCAAGUCAUGUGUGAAAACCUCAGGCUUAACUUGAGGACUGCAUGUGAAACUGGAAAACUUGAGUGCAGUAGAGGAAAGUGGAAUUCCUGGUGUAGCGGUGAAAUGCGCAGAUAUCAGGAAGAACACCAGUGGCGAAGGCGGCUUUCUGGGCUGCUACUGACACUGAGGCGCGAAAGCUAGGGGGGAGCGAACAGGAUUAGAUACCCUGGUAGUCCUAGCUGUAAACGAUGGACACUAGGUGUGGGAAGUUAUCGACGCUUUCCGUGCCGAAGCUAACGCAUUAAGUGUCCCCGCCUGGGAGUACGGCCGCAAGGCUA